GAUGAAGAACGUAGCGAAAUGCGAUAAGUAAUGUGAAUUGCAGAAUUCAGUGAAUCAUCGAAUCUUUGAACGCACCUUGCGCCCUUUGGCCAUUCCGAAGGGCAUGCCUGUUUGAGUAUCAUGAACACCUCAACUCUUUAUGGUUUUCCAUGAUGAGCUUGGACUUUGGGGGUUUUGCUGGCCUAUGGUCGGCUCCUCUAAAAUAAAUCAGCUUACCAGUGUUUGGUGGGUAUCAUGGGUGUGAUAACUAUCUACGCUUGUGGUUUUUCCGCCAGGUAACCUUCGACAGCGGAGGUUCACUGGAGCUCAUAGAUGUCUCUCCUCAGCGAGGACAGCCCUUUAAAUGUUUGAUCUCAAAUCAGGUAGGACUACCCGCUGAACUUAAGCAUAUCAAUAAGCGGAGGA
Molecule: unclassified non-coding RNA, 405 nt
Filed under: soil metagenome
Description: partial contains 5.8S ribosomal RNA, internal transcribed spacer 2, and large subunit ribosomal RNA
Rfam family: 5.8S ribosomal RNA (bases 1-121)
Source: RNAcentral